AUUGAACGCUGGCGGCAGGCUUAACACAUGCAAGUCGAGCGAGCGGCGGACGGGUGAGUAAUGUCUGGGAAACUGCCUGAUGGAGGGGGAUAACUACUGGAAACGGUAGCUAAUACCGCAUACCAUCAGAUGUGCCCAGAUGGGAUUAGCUAGUAGGUGGGGUAAUGGCUCACCUAGGCGACGAUCCCUAGCUGGUCUGAGAGGAUGACCAGCAAGACGGGAACUGAGACGCGGUCCAGACUCCUACGGUAGGCAGCGGUGGGGAAUAUUGAAUAAGGGGCGCAAGCCUGAUCAAGCCAUGCCGCGUGUGUGAAGAAGGCAUUCGGGUUGUAAAGCACUUGCAGCGUGGAGGCGUUACUCGCAGAAGAAGCACCGGCUAACUCCGUGCCAGCAGCCGCGGUAAUAC
Molecule: ribosomal RNA, 406 nt
Filed under: uncultured bacterium
Lineage: Bacteria
Description: partial 16S ribosomal RNA
Rfam family: Bacterial small subunit ribosomal RNA
Source: RNAcentral